This 496-nucleotide ribosomal RNA is filed under the name uncultured bacterium. RNAcentral describes it as "partial 16S ribosomal RNA". It matches the Rfam family "Bacterial small subunit ribosomal RNA", at positions 28 to 523 of the family's 1533-position model. The record is from RNAcentral.
GAUGAACGCUGGCGGCGUGCCUAACACAUGCAAGUCGAGCGGUAUAUAUUUAAAUGAAACUUCGGUCGAGUGAGAGUAUAGAGAGCGGCGGACGGGUGAGUAACGCGUAGGCAACCUGCCCCAUACAGAGGGAUAGCCUCGGGAAACCGGGAUUAAAACCUCAUAACGCGAGGGAGUCACAUGGCUUCAUCGCCAAAGAUUUAUCGGUAUGGGAUGGGCCUGCGUCUGAUUAGCUAGGUGGUGGGGUAACGGCUCACCAAGGCAACGAUCAGUAGCCGACAUGAGAGGGUAAUCGGCCACAUUGGAACUGGUACACGGUCCAAACUCCGACGCGAGGCAGCAGUUGGGAAUAUUGCACAAUGGGCGAAAGCCUGAUGCAGCAACGCCGCGUGAGCGAUGAAGGCCUUUGGGUCGUAAAGCUCUGUCCUUGGGGAAGAAUAAAUGACGGUACCCUUGGAGGAAGCCCCGGCUAACUACGUGCCAGCAGCCGCAGUAA